CCCCUGGAGCAUGUGAGCCCACUUGAUCAUGGAGAAGGAUGCACCUAGAGCAGAAACAAGGAUGCUGAUGACAUAGUGUCUGCUCCUGCAUGUUGCCUGAAACUUCCCUAAAGGAGCUCCAAGCAACCAGUCUAAACUGUCCUGACAAGCAGACCGUAGCAGAAGGGAUUCAGGAAAGACCUCGGAUGGAAGCCUUUAGAAGUGAGAGGUCAGCCUGCUGGACACAGGUGGCCUAGCAAACAGCCAGCCCCAGCUGCCAGCCAUGAGGGUGAAGCCAUCCCAGACCAUCUAGCCUCAGUUCAGCCACUGGAAGACUACAGCUACAUGACAUGAGACCAGCAGGGCUGCCCACCUGAGUCCAGCCCAAAUUUCUAGCCCACAGAACUGUGAGAAAAUAAAAUGGUUAUUAUUUUAAGCACUAAGUUUUGGGGUGGCUUGUUACACAGCAACAGUUGACUGAUACAGCAUGGGGCCCUGAUAAAGAAUAGAGUAAGAGAACGAAGCUGAUGAGGGCCUGUUGU
Manis javanica (Malayan pangolin) is the source of this 521-nucleotide long non-coding RNA. RefSeq lists it as uncharacterized. The record is from RefSeq and is a predicted model, not a curated record. NCBI's taxonomy places the organism in Eukaryota, Metazoa, Chordata, Mammalia, Pholidota, Manidae.